This is a long non-coding RNA of Nematolebias whitei (Rio pearlfish), 299 nucleotides long. RefSeq lists it as uncharacterized. The transcript has 3 exons. The record is from RefSeq and is a predicted model, not a curated record. NCBI's taxonomy places the organism in Eukaryota, Metazoa, Chordata, Actinopteri, Cyprinodontiformes, Rivulidae.
UGCGCACGCGCGCACACGUGCGUGCUCAGGUGAACUCAUCGCCGCCGUCCUUUGUGUUCGCGUGCACGGGUUCACGCGACGUGCGUGCUGAGCGCGCGCGUGCGCGCGGCGGAUCGAUGAGGAUGGAUUUAAAACCUGAAGUAAAAACUGGAUUUAACACCACAGAAGAAGAAGAAAUGGUGGGCUGAUCGGUGUAUACGAGGUUCCAGAACCCACAGAAAGACCGGCCCACAGCAUGGUAGAUGCCAGCACAGCUUACAGAAUGAACCCACUUGCAGCCCUCAGCAUCGAUCAAAACU